RNAcentral lists this long non-coding RNA (1206 nucleotides) under Homo sapiens (human). RNAcentral describes it as "HSALNT0216033". Lineage: Eukaryota; Metazoa; Chordata; Mammalia; Primates; Hominidae. The record is from RNAcentral.
UCUAGAUUUCACGAUUUCAAUAUGUGUUAAUAGCAUUUCUUGCCUUACCACAAAUUUUUAUAAUUGGGCAGUGUUUCAAUCAUUUUCUAUUUAUUAUAUAUUUGUUUCCUGAUUCUCACAUUGAUCCAAUUAUAAAAAUAGAAGAAAACUUCAUAAUCACACAGAAAAAACAAACAUUCUAUAUUUUUUAAAUCUGUCUGUAACACCAUUCGAAACAGAGAAUAAGCCAGAUUUUAUCUGUGAUGGACCUCAGAGUUCCAAACACGUAUUCAUCACAUAUGACUCAUACGCCACCGGUAGUCAUCAUCGAUCCAGAAUGUGUCCUAUUUUUCUCUGGGCACUUUUACCUUGUCUAAUGAUUAAUUCAUUAAUUUGCUAAUAGUAAUUUGAAAACCUUUGGUUCACAAACGCCUCAGAACAGCAUUAAUAUUAAUAUUCUUUAUCUGCAUAUAGAAUCAUUCUCACACUGAUAAAUGUUUCAUUAAUUAUCCUCAGUUUUUCAAACAUGUAUUGUUAAUAUAACGCUUCAUAUCACUCCCAUUUCUAUCACUGGGCUGCAGCUGGCCAUUUUUGAUUACAGUGCAGACUUUUUAAUAAUACAUCAAAUCCUCCUAACCCAACCACCCAAACUAAGACCAGAACUUGAUUACUCACGUAGGUCUGCGUGCUCCCAAUCAAGAGGCAGACACAGCAUGUCACCAGGGAGGAAUCCUUCCAUCAGCACAAGCCAUCUAUUCUGAGGAAUACAAAGCAGAGACGAAAAAGAACAAUUUGAUCUUGCAAGUGAAUAAGAAUUUGAACAUUAUCUGUAAUUUAUUCUGUCUACAUUAUUAUAAGCCAAAGAAGUAACAGAGGCAACCACAGAGCUCGUGGCCAUGGAAGACUGCUUAAAUCACCUGAGCGUAUCCAUUCUAAGGAGGGAACACAACAAUCUUGAUCCCAACAGAAUGAUUCAAAGAGCUUGUUGCAUCCAUUCUGAAGAGUAGAAAGCACAGAAAAACAUUGAGAUGUUCUCUCCAUUGAUCCACGUUGUCUACCAUUUGUUAACACUGCCUUUUAGGCUUUUAUUAAUUUAUGCUAAUAUUUAUAUAUUUUGCAAGUAAUAAACUUCAAAACUUGCAACUGAAUGAGAGCAAGAACUGUUACCUAUUACAGUCUAUGUCAUCCUUAGUCCAAGACAUAAUAUCCUUGAUCAAUUUAUUACCC